CACGGCCCGACAACAUAUCCGACUGUAAGAGAGUCGAACCUUUGUGUGAGUAUUUGCUUUCUAUCUGCUUGUUUGCUGACUAAGCUGACCGGCGUGUGUUUAUGUCUGUCUGUGUGUGUGUGUCUGUGUGUGUGUGUGUUGGGGGGUAUUUGGUGUGUCUUAAUGUCUGAGGAAUGUUAAUGCGCGGUGGACAGCAAUCAAGGCAGAAAGCAGAACAAUGGAAAAUGGAUGAAGUGGGAGGAUAAAGGAGCUGGCAGGUCAGAUUAAUGAAGCUGAAUAAUGUGAAGUCUGACUGACCGAUACACUCGCAGACUGAUUUAUCGUUCCUCAUCCUGUGGAUUCAUUGUGCGUUCAACUUUCGCAUCAUUUCGGGAAAAUCUGUUCUUCAUAACGCUCAUCUGAAAAAGUCAGCGUUCCUGAAAUCGAACCAAACGUCCAAAAAUAGUCGAGAUACUGAGGGAAAUGUUGAUAAAAAGCAGAUUUUGAUCGUUUGCACAAAAUUUUCAUUUCAAAAUAAUGCUAAGUCAACAUGUGAGAUCCAAAUAAAGUUCCUCAAAUGCAAAAAUUCUGGGUUUUCUUCAUCUCCAUUACAGAAAUCACCGUACAAAAGAGAAUCCAAAACCAAGACCAGAGGGCCAUAAAUUAAGUGUACCUCCACUGACAGUUUCCUAAAGUUGGUUUAUUUAAGUCGUAGAGCUCAUCCUAGGGCUGGGCGAUAAUAUACCGAUAUGGGCACAAUGAUGUUGGUUAUCAUCGUAAACUUCUGUGACGGUAAAUUUUCAGUUUAUCGCCCAGCCCUACUCCAGAAUAAUGUUCCUCAAAUGCAAAAAUUCUGGGCUGGAUGGUCGUGAUCCCUGGGCUCUCAGGCAGGACUGUAUUAAAACUGGCAUGACUGUAGUGGGAAUCACCGCAUAGACUUAAAAAUCAGCAUCUGUGAGUGAAGUUUGUCCUUGGAGCCACAAAUGCAGGUUCAAACUGCGCCGUGCAAAGAGGAAAGUAUAUAUAGAUCUAAUCCAGGACCUGAACCCAUCGACAUGGAUGAAGAGGAAGAACUGUCUCAUGGUUUGAUUCUCUUUGGAGAUUAUAGACGCUGCUUCCUCCACUCUCAAAAGGAGAGGAACCACUUUUUUAGGGAAGACCCGGAAUGAGACAACACCAAACCACAUCCUGCAAGUGGUCCAACUCUAUGGCUCUGAAGUAGAAGAGUCCUGCUGCUAAACUGAUCCAUCUGCAGGACUCUGGUGAAAAAUUCAACAAAGGAGACCCCAAAGUAGAAACUCUCUAGAAUGAGGCAACACUUAACUUUAAAACUCAAUAAACUGGUCUCCUCUCUCCCUAAACGUGACUACAAUCAAAGGAUGCAGACUUCUUAAAGAUUUUCAAAGAUAUUAGGAGUGAAAUCUUUUACUUUCUCCCUCCACACAUCUUCUUAAAGGGUCUAAUCCUCGUCAGUGAAUCCACCCUCAGUGAAAAGUAAAAGGUCAUUAUCACCCCUGAUCUCUUAACCACCUCCAGCUCUGAGGACAUUAAAAGUCAAAUAUCUCCUCUCAUUACCGCUCCUUCCUCCAUUUCUCACCAAAAGGAGCAUCCUGAGCCCAACAAAAGAUCCCAGGAAUGUCUCCUCUUCUCUCACCGGGUAAUGCUCGGGCCUCAGGAAUGUGGAGGAGGUGGAGAGAGGACUCAAUGAAAAGAAAAGAGAGGAACGAGGAGGAGUCCUCCUGCGUCUGGUCCCCCUCCUCGUCCAGGCAAUCAUCUCCAGUCGUCUCAGCGUGAGAAAGAACAAAGCAGGAGGAGAGGAGGAGAGUGUUUCGUUUCUUCAUGGCCUCAUGCACCGUGUCUCUAAUUGCAGGAAUGAGAGG
RNAcentral lists this long non-coding RNA (1859 nucleotides) under Xyrichtys novacula (pearly razorfish). Lineage: Eukaryota; Metazoa; Chordata; Actinopteri; Labriformes; Labridae. The record is from RNAcentral.